UACGAAGGGGGCUAGCGUUGCUCGGAAUCACUGGGCGUAAAGGGUGCGUAGGCGGGUCUUUAAGUCAGGGGUGAAAUCCUGGAGCUCAACUCCAGAACUGCCUUUGAUACUGAGGAUCUUGAGUUCGGGAGAGGUGAGUGGAACUGCGAGUGUAGAGGUGAAAUUCGUAGAUAUUCGCAAGAACACCAGUGGCGAAGGCGGCUCACUGGUCCGGUUCUGACGCUGAGGCGCGAAAGCGUGGGGAGCAAACAGG
Molecule: ribosomal RNA, 253 nt
Filed under: uncultured bacterium
Lineage: Bacteria
Description: partial 16S ribosomal RNA
Rfam family: Bacterial small subunit ribosomal RNA
Source: RNAcentral